AGAGCGAACGCUGGCGGCAGGCCUAACACAUGCAAGUCGAGCGCCCGUAGCAAUACGGGAGCGGCAGACGGGAUAGUAACACGUGGGAACGCGCCCUUCGGUUCGGAAUAACUCAGGGAAACUUGAGCUAAUACCGGAUACGCCCUUACGGGGAAAGAUUUAUUGCCGAAGGAACGGCCCGCGUCCGAUUAGCUAGUUGGUGAGGUAAUGGCUCACCAAGGCGACGAUCGGUAGCUGGUCUGAGAGGAUGACCAGCAUCACUGGGACUGAGACACGGCCCAGACUCCUACGGGAGGCAGCAGUGGGGAAUAUUGGACAAUGGGCGCAAGCCUGAUCCAGCCAUGCCGCGUGGAUGAUGAAGGCCUUAGGGUUGUAAAGUCCUUUUAACGGGGAAGAUAAUGACGGUACCCGUAGAAUAAGCCCCGGCUAACUUCGCGCCAGCAGGCCGC
Molecule: ribosomal RNA, 449 nt
Filed under: uncultured bacterium
Lineage: Bacteria
Description: SSU rRNA
Rfam family: Bacterial small subunit ribosomal RNA
Source: RNAcentral